CAGAGCUUAACUCUGGAACUGCCAUCAAAACUUUUCAGCUAGAGUAUGAUAGAGGAAAGCAGAAUUUCUAGUGUAGAGGUGAAAUUCGUAGAUAUUAGAAAGAAUACCAAUUGCGAAGGCAGCUUUCUGGAUCAUUACUGACACUGAGGAACGAAAGCAUGGGUAGCGAAGAGGAUUAGAUACCCUCGUAGUCCAUGCCGUAAACGAUGUGUGUUAGACGUUGGAAAUUUAUUUUCAGUGUCGCAGCGAAAGCGAUAAACACACCGCCUGGGGAGUACGACCGCAAGGUUAAAACUCAAAUGAAUUGACGGGGACCCGCACAAGUAGUGGAGCAUGUGGUUUAAUUCGAAGAUACGCGCAGAACCUUACCAACACUUGACAUGUUCGUCGCGACUUUAAGAGAUUAAAGUUUUCGGUUCGGCCGGACGAAACACAGGUGCUGCAUGGCUGUCGUCAGCUCGUGUCGUGAGAUGUUGGGUUAAGUCCCGCAACGAGCGCAACCCUCACUUUUAGUUGCCAUCAUUUAGUUGGGCACUCUGAAAGAACUGCCAGUGAUAAGCUGGAGGAAGGUGGGGAUGACGUCAAGUCCUCAUGGCCCUUACGUGUUGGGCUACACACGUGCUACAAUGGUAUCUACAACAGGAAGCGAAACAGCGAUGUUAAGCAAAUCCUUAAAAGAUACCUCAGUUCGGAUUGCACUCUGCAACUCGAGUGCAUGAAGCUGGAAUUACUAGUAAUCGUGGAUCAGCGUGCCACGGUGAAUGCGUUCCCGGGUCUUGUACACACCGCCCGUCACACCAUGGGAGUUGGUUCUACCUUAAGGCAAGGCAUAAAACCCUUGACCACGGUAUAGUCAGCGACUGGGGUGAAGUCGUAACAAGGUAGCCG
This 888-nucleotide ribosomal RNA is filed under the name uncultured bacterium. Its description in RNAcentral is "bacterial SSU rRNA". It matches the Rfam family "Bacterial small subunit ribosomal RNA", at positions 603 to 1502 of the family's 1533-position model. The record is from RNAcentral.